AGAUGAUUUGCAGUGAGAACAGAGCAGAGUUGGGGACAGAAUUCUGACGAAGAUGAACACAUAAAGGAAAAAGAGACUUGCAAGUAUUCGAAGAAAGAAUGUCCAGAGAAUUGGAAGAAAAACAAGGAAAUCUGUAGUGUCGAAAAAAAGCAGAAAAUGUUUAAAAAAAUGCGGCUACUGAUGACAGAAGUGCCACAGGCUGGGAUGUCCCCAUCCAACUUCAGGCUUGCCAUCACAUUCAAAAGGAGUUCCUUAGCUGAAAGAGAUACCGGACCUUCAAAAAUCAGUCAAUCAGUCAACAAAGAUACGUAUUUGAGCUGGUGAAUUUGACAAGAGAGUUAUCUUCCAGGAUAUGGACAACAUGGAAAGAUCUCAGGGAUGUGUUAAAUCACACAGAAGACUCUGAAGAGCCAUGGCUGUCUGUCUGUCUGCUGUCUGAAAUUUAGACUGUUAGGAAAAUUAAGACCCAACUCUAGUAGGGCUGCAUUUCAAAUGAAACUUCAAGUCAUGCUAAUGUCUGGCAUCAAUUUGAAAUUCCUUAAAUGUAACCACAUAAUUUCAGUUUUAAAAAGGGUCUUUCACUUUUAAUGAUCGAAAAGAAACUUUUGAUUGCCAUAGGGCAAUUUAAUGAAAGUCU
Long non-coding RNA from Felis catus (domestic cat), 637 nucleotides. RefSeq lists it as uncharacterized. NCBI's taxonomy places the organism in Eukaryota, Metazoa, Chordata, Mammalia, Carnivora, Felidae. The record is from RefSeq and is a predicted model, not a curated record. The transcript is spliced from 3 exons.